CCUACGGGUGGCAGCAGUGAGGAAUAUUGGUCAAUGGACGAGCGUCUGAACCAGCCAAGUAGCGUGAAGGAUGACUGCCCUAUGGGUUGUAAACUUCUUUUAUAUGGGAAUAAAAUGUUCCACGUGUGGGAUUUUGUAUGUACCAUAUGAAUAAGGCUCGGCUAACUCCGUGCCAGCAGCCGCGGUAAUACGGAGGAUCCGAGCGUUAUCCGGAUUUAUUGGGUUUAAAAGGAGCGUAGGUGGAUUGUUAAGUCAGUUGUGAAAGUUUGCGGCUCAACCGUAAAAUUGCAGUUGAAACUGGCAGUCUUGAGUACAGUAGAGGUGGGCGGAAUUCGUGGUGUAGCGGUGAAAUGCUUAGAUAUCACGAAGAACUCCGAUUGCGAAGGCAGUUCACUGGACUGCAACUGACACUGAGGCUCGAAAGUGUGGGUAUCAAACAGGAUUAGAUACCCCAGUAGUC
This 460-nucleotide ribosomal RNA is filed under the name uncultured bacterium. RNAcentral's name for it is "partial 16S ribosomal RNA". It matches the Rfam family "Bacterial small subunit ribosomal RNA", at positions 338 to 795 of the family's 1533-position model. The record is from RNAcentral.